CAGCAGCCGCGGUAAUACGGAGGGUGCAAGCGUUACUCGGAAUCACUGGGCGUAAAGCGCGCGCAGGCGGCUAUUUAAGUUGGAUGUGAAAGCCUACGGCUCAACCGUAGAACUGCAUCCAAAACUAUUUAGCUAGAGUGUGGGAGAGGAAGAUGGAAUUAGUUGUGUAGGGGUAAAAUCCGUAGAGAUAACUAGGAAUACCAAAAGCGAAGGCAAUCUUCUGGAACAUUACUGACGCUGAGGCGCGAAAGCGUGGGGAGCAAACAGGAUUAGAUACCCUGGUAGUCCACGCCCUAAACGAUGAAUGUUAGUCGUCGGGUAGCUAGUCUAUUCGGUGAUGCAGCUAACGCAUUAAACAUUCCGCCUGGGGAGUACGGUCGCAAGAUUAAAACUCAAAGGAAUAGACGGGGACCCGCACAAGUGGUGGAGCAUGUGGUUUAAUUCGAAGAUACGCGAAGAACCUUACCUAGCCUUGACAUAUAUUAGAACAUUUUAGAGAUAAGAUGGUGCCUUCGGGAGCUUUUAUACAGGUGCUGCACGGCUGUCGUCAGCUCGUGUCGUGAGAUGUUGGGUUAAGUCCCGCAACGAGCGCAACCCUCGUCACUAGUUACUAACGGUUCGGCCGAGGACUCUAGUGAGACUGCCUUCGCAAGGAGGAGGAAGGUGAGGACGACGUCAAGUCAUCAUGGCCCUUACGGCUAGGGCAACACACGUGCUACAAUGGCCAGGACAAUGAGACGCGAUACCGCGAGGUGGAGCAAAUCUAUAAACCUGGUCUCAGUUCGGAUUGUUCUCUGCAACUCGAGAACAUGAAGCUGGAAUC
Molecule: ribosomal RNA, 823 nt
Filed under: uncultured Campylobacterota bacterium
Lineage: Bacteria; Pseudomonadati; Campylobacterota
Description: bacterial SSU rRNA
Rfam family: Bacterial small subunit ribosomal RNA
Source: RNAcentral